Molecule: ribosomal RNA, 253 nt
Filed under: uncultured bacterium
Lineage: Bacteria
Description: partial 16S ribosomal RNA
Rfam family: Bacterial small subunit ribosomal RNA
Source: RNAcentral
UACGUAGGGGGCAAGCGUUGUCCGGAUUUAUUGGGCGUAAAGAGCGUGUAGGCGGCCAGGGAGGUCCGUUGUGAAAACUCGAGGCUCAACCUCGAGACGCCGAUGGAAACCCCCUGGCUAGAGUCCGGAAGAGGAGAGUGGAAUUCCUGGUGUAGCGGUGAAAUGCGCAGAUAUCAGGAAGAACACCCGUGGCGAAGGCGGCUCUCUGGGACGUGACUGACGCUGAGACGCGAAAGCGUGGGGAGCGAACAGG